RNAcentral lists this transfer RNA (74 nucleotides) under Xanthomonas phage X1. RNAcentral describes it as "tRNA-Leu". It matches the Rfam family "tRNA". Rfam says of the family: Transfer RNA (tRNA) molecules are approximately 80 nucleotides in length. Their secondary structure includes four short double-helical elements and three loops (D, anti-codon, and T loops). Further hydrogen bonds mediate the characteristic L-shaped molecular structure. tRNAs have two regions of fundamental functional importance: the anti-codon, which is responsible for specific mRNA codon recognition, and the 3' end, to which the tRNAs corresponding amino acid is attached (by aminoacyl-tRNA synthetases). tRNAs cope with the degeneracy of the genetic code in two manners: having more than one tRNA (with a specific anti-codon) for a particular amino acid; and 'wobble' base-pairing, i.e. permitting non-standard base-pairing at the 3rd anti-codon position. The record is from RNAcentral. Lineage: Duplodnaviria; Heunggongvirae; Uroviricota; Caudoviricetes.
GCCCAGGUGACGGAAUUGGUAUACGUACUGUCCUCAGAAGGCAGGUUUUGAGGGUUCGAGUCCCUCUCUGGGUA